UGAUUACGUCCCUGCCCUUUGUACACACCGCCCGUCGCUGCCCGGGACUGAGCCAUUUCGAGAAACUUGGGGACCGCUGAUCCGGUGGCUUCGGCCUCCGUUUCGGUGGAAACCAAUUUAAUCGCAGUGGCUUGAACCGGGCAAAAGUCGUAACAAGGUAGCUGUAGGUGAACCUGCUGCUGGAUCAUUACACGUACCGUGAUGGUCA
RNAcentral lists this ribosomal RNA (208 nucleotides) under Nacobbus aberrans. RNAcentral's name for it is "partial 18S ribosomal RNA". It matches the Rfam family "Eukaryotic small subunit ribosomal RNA", at positions 1642 to 1831 of the family's 1831-position model. The record is from RNAcentral. Lineage: Eukaryota; Metazoa; Nematoda; Chromadorea; Rhabditida; Pratylenchidae.